Long non-coding RNA from Drosophila simulans, 1295 nucleotides. RefSeq lists it as uncharacterized. The transcript has 3 exons. NCBI's taxonomy places the organism in Eukaryota, Metazoa, Arthropoda, Insecta, Diptera, Drosophilidae. The record is from RefSeq and is a predicted model, not a curated record.
UCAUUGCAUCGUACUCACCAGCAAUUUCGAUAGUGUCAACAUUAUAAUUUACAAACGUCACUUUACAUUUUCUUAGCGUCCGCUUCAUAAUUGCUUUUUCAUAUGUUGCUUUUGGAAUCAAUGUGCAAGGUGCACCAGUGUCGCAAACAACAUUCAUGUGAAAGAGAUCGAGAGAUUAAAGUUAUCGCUGUUGCUAUGUACGUAGUUCACGUUCUCUUCAGCUCUCUUAGCGGUAAUCUUCGUCUCCAUUAUCAUUGCUUUUCUCAAUGCGUCCGACAGAGACGAAAAACUUCACAAAACCGUUUAAAAAUUGCACUUGGAAGACUCAUGAUGAAUUGGUUUAAAACAGAUGUUCCAGAUGUUGUCCAAACUUGCAAUUUAAUGCUAACUGACACGUGCAUACCAACUUGAAACGGUUUCAUUUUAGCUUUUUGUGAACAUGUGAAAGGUUUUUCUUUCCCGAAACACUAGUGUUGGUAGUGUAUAAUGCAAAAGCAUUAUUUCACAAAGUUAUUUGUAUGAUUUAGAUAAUGUUUUACCCGAGCGGAGAGAGGGCAAUUUUGGCCGUCACCUAAAAAAAGUGGAUGCAUAGUGCAAAACCAAUCGCGUCAGAGUCAUUUUCACUUCCGGUUAUACUAAAAUUCCAAAUCAAAUGGCUGCAUGUACGUAUAAAACACCUUUCCUCCAAAAAAUAACACGCAAUAUAUACAGUAAAAUUAGUUGUGAUAUUUUUGAGUCGAACUAAUGUCCCGUCAGUUGGCUAAGGACAACGCUAAGAAAUAAAAAAUUAUCGGGGAAAUAGUUUUCACGUCUUUAUUCUUUUGAUCUCAGCUUAAGACUUAAUAUCAAAUGUAAAUUGGAUUGAGGAGUAGCCUUAGUAUUUUAAUAAUAAUUGUAUUUCGGAAGAGCCUCGCUCUUGGAUUCUUAGGAUUAAGAAAUGGUUUAAAAAGAGCAGUCAAAUCGGCUUAGGUAAGGCUUGUUUACAAGAACGGCUAUUAGACCGGCUUUAUUAGAAACGGAUGCUGCGCAGCUGGGACAUUAUUAUAUAAGUUAGCACCAAAAGAAUUCGCAAGAACAAUCUGCGAAGACUUACACGCGCAUCUGGCCGUGCACCUGCAGUAGCCAAUAAAUGCAAGAUCAGCGUCUGGAGCGCUUCCGUGGGAGCGACGAUGGCAGAGCCAACAACGGAGUUGGCACUGACGCUAGCAGAAGCAGCGACGGUGCUGGGGGGUAUAAAUACCACCCCAUUUUGUACUUUAAAUUCAGUUCCGAUUCUUAUCAAAAUAAAGACGGAC